AAUUAUUAUAUGGAAGCCCAAAACCAUUAAAACAAUUCACAGCCCAAAAUUUUAAAAAGGGGAAAAGCCCAAAUUCUUUUCUUCCACAAUCACUCUCGGUCUCUCUCUCUAAUCUCAACUCACGCCGCUCGUCCUCCUCCUUCUCUCUCUCGCUGAAAAUCCAAUCGAGCUCUCUCUCUCGAUUCACUGCUCCGACGAGGUUGCCGGCGUCGCCGCCGCCUAAGCCCGGCAAGGUCGUGCCUCCUCCCUUUUUCCUAUCAGUCGGAUCUCUCUCUCCCUUUCCUCCCCAAAAUCUGCUCGUCCCUCUCUCCUCUCGAAAUUCACCGCCGUCGGAGCUCGCCGGAGCGAGCGGCGACAACCACUGCCCCUUGGUUCUCCCUUCUCUCACGCUGAAACAGGCCCGACAUCCCACCGCGAAGAGCGGCGCCCGAGCCCUAGCUCCCUCUCUCUCUCUCGGACUCACGGUCGCUGGGGCUACCUCCGGCGAGGCAGCUGCCGGACUUGGCCCCCUCUGCUCCAGCCGACAGCAGCAGUCAGCCGGACCGCCGCCAUCGCCGCCAUCUCUCCCUCCGACGACCAGCGACACAAUCAGAUCUCACUCUCUCUCAGCCCCCAAAGUCCAGAUCGGAAAUCCGCCCCUCCCCUCUUCUCCUUCGGCCACAGCGACCAACCAUCAGGUGCCGCCAUCAUCGUCUGAAUCCGGCGAGCGAUCGUCGUCAGCGUCGGGUCUCCGGACUUGAGGUAGCAUGCUGCCUUAGCCCUUGAGUUCCAGCGAGCGGACGCUUCGGUCGAUGCACUCUGCCCAUCGGAACAGAACUCGUUCCGCUUAUUGUUGCCGCGCUCUACCCCAAACCCCAGAUUGAACGGCAACACGCGGCAAGGAUAAAACUCGACAGGUUGCAAAUGGAAGAAAGGUGGGAACAUUAAGGCAAGCUUACCGUGAGAACUUGGCAGGAACAAGAUAGGCACUGAUCUUCAAUAAUUCUUGGUGAAAUGAAGUGAGAGUGAGAGUUGUUUGUUGGCUGAAGUUAACAACUAGUAGAGGAAGAAGUUUCUGCUGCAACUUGAGUAUGGUGGGGGAGUUGGUGGUUGUGGAGUUGGCGGGGAGCAAAGGGUAGUGGAGUUGGUGGAGUUACUUUCAUGGUUUGAAAGAUGGUGCAGGCAGCAUAGGGUAUGGUGGAAUGACCACCUACUUGCUUUUGUACUAUGCAGAUUUUCUUUUGAUUUUGUGUCAAUACUUUAGUGAGUGGUAUUAAGUGGCCACGUAGAGUCCACAACCUUUGUGGUAUACUAGACGAUUUUCCCCAAGCUGGGAACUAGACUGUAAUCUGUGAACUGUAAAUAAAUACUGGCUUCGAUUUUAAAUCA
Molecule: long non-coding RNA, 1368 nt
Organism: Salvia miltiorrhiza (redroot sage)
Lineage: Eukaryota; Viridiplantae; Streptophyta; Magnoliopsida; Lamiales; Lamiaceae
Exons: 2
Source: RefSeq, a predicted model, not a curated record